CUGGCUGUUUUAGAACACUUAAGCCUUUUUUUGUUUGUUUGAUUGUUUGUUUUUUGAUAAAAGUUUUUAUAAAUAUAUUGAUGACCUGUUAUUUAGGUCUUCUCAUUCAUUGCUGAGCUUCACCAUGUGGUCAUUUAAUUGGAUGAUGUUCCAUUCAGAUAUCCAGGAAGUAGGGAGUGUUUGAUCUCAAUGAAAUCCAUUUACAUCUGUUUUUCAGUCCUCCUUGUCCUCCUCCUGCUUCAUUAUGCAUCAUCAUCACACUGUGUUGUCUGGUGUCGGCUUGCCACCCGCUCAGUCUGCAGAUGACUCAGCAGCUUCAUCGUCCACCUGCACAGCCUCCUCAGAGCUCUAAUUCAGCCUCCGCUUGACAUCAGGCUUCAUAAAGAAUAUAAGGCCUCUAUUCUGUCCUUUGAAAUAAUUAAGCAGGACAGAUAACCAGUGGAAUUAUUUGGAUCAAAGCUUUGACAUGAGGCGUCGGAAGGGGGUAGGUGUCUGGAGUGUCCCAGGACGGCUGAAUAGAAGACGUAAACAUCAACCCGGCAAUCACUGAAGCCACAGCAGCACAGGUGCACCGAGAUGAGGCUUUGUUUACUGUAAAACAGCAGGUGCAACAGCAGCUGUGACACACUACUGUCAGAUACAACAUCCCUCACUGGCUGUGGGGGUGAGAGUAGCACUGUGUAACUCUGCAGCUGAGAAUCCCCAGAGCACAGCAGGAGGCAGAGUGCUAAAUGGUGUAAAUGACAGUUGUCAUUAGAUUCUUAUCUUGUAUCUUAAAGGACAAUUCAUCUUUAUCAAUGUGAGGAAGUUAUUCCAACACCACCCACAAAGAUAUUUAUUUAGCUUUCCAUCCAAAAUAUUAUAGUUUUUUGUUUGUUUGUUUUUUGUCUUCUAACUUUUUUGGCUCUUAACUAAAUAAAUUGAACUUUUUGGGGGUCAAUAUCAUGCCUUUAUUGGACAGCUAAGUGUAGAGAGAUGACAGGACAUAAGAAAUGGGGACUGACAUGCAACAGAGGUCUGAACCAUUUGCCACCAGGGCACAUCCAUGCAGAAGAUUCUGUUUUUGACACCUCAUCACAGGUUGAACGUGUCAAUGUGUUUGCAAUAAAAGCUUAGAGUGUAGAAAGGUCAGAUAAAAUUGCAAGUUUGUGCCUGCAUGAGGUUGCUGCAAAAGUUUCUACAGUCAGAAAGAAUCACAAUAAAGGUAGAAGAUAUUAUUUAUGAUGUGUCACAGUAAUCUAGUUUGAUGACAAACAAUAACAGGUGAAGAGAGGAAAUACAGUAUGAAAACAGCUUAUUUGACUUAAAGCGACUUGAGAUGUAAGAAUAUAAAGAAGAAAGAAUGUAACCCUAACCCUAAACAAUGUAAACACAAUAUUGUCCUGUGAUAAUAAUAUACCCAAAGUGAAGUCAGUAUAUAUACACUACAUACUGUAAAACCUUGCUUUCAAUACAAUAUACAGAUCAACACAGUAUUCUAGCACUGAACCAAGCUGAGGAGUACACAGUGACACCUGGUGGCCUUGAGCAGGCAUGACAACUGAGCACCAACAACAACAACACUUAAUUAACAACACUUCAUCUGUUACAGACUGAAUAUAACAACAUGCUAUGUUCAAUCUAAUAUCAAUUCACACAAAAAAGGUCGGGGGAAACUAAUAUCAGUCAAACAGCAUCAUAAUGAACAUAUUAGCAUGACACAAGACAGAUGGGCACUUUCCCUGGUAAAUACAUCAAUAUAAAAGAAAGGAAGACUUUGACUGUUCUUAAAUAUAGAUCAGAGGACAACAAGAACUACUUACUGUAGUUCAUGAACAGGCUCACAGCAGGAUUUUAGAGAUACUGAGCUCCUGCCAACCCAGCUGCCCCCACCCAGACAUGGAGAACAUUUUGAAGACUGUAGUAUAAAUCUGUGCAUUUCUCUGCAUUUUGACAGGGCAAGUAAACAUUUAGGAAAUAAUGUCAGUGCCGGCACGUAGAAGAAAAUUGGACUGAAAUUCCAAAAGAAGAAGAAGAUGAUAAGGGACAGAUAUGGCCAAUUUUGACUUCAAUUGAUCAAAUGUAUUUAUGUUACAAAAAAGAACGUAUUGAAACAGAUGCAACCCUGACUGGGACAAGGCAAGACGAUGCAGAGGGAGGAUGUAUGGUCAGUUUAAUCCUUAUUUCACUAACCCUUCUUUAUAUAUAAUGUAAUUCAUAGUGUUAAAUUCUUUUUAAAAAUAUGUUUUAUCUUUCUAUAUUAUACAACCCCUCCUCAAAACUAACACGUCUCUGGCACCAUUUUAAGAAAUUACUACAAAAGCAGUAUUAAUUGCAGAGCCCCUGUACUGAAUUAAGGUAUUUUUUUGUUAUUGAGUCGAACUUGUGUUCACAUGAGUUGAAUGGUUUGCUGUUGUAUUUUCAUUCUACUAAAUUACUGUUUAUCGAAACACGUGUCAGGGUGUUAGGGCCACCUGCUGGACAGCCAGCGAAAGAACAACGUAUGAAAUGGUUCAGGAUCCAUUUCAUGAUUAGAACCAGUUAUCACCAACUUAAUGUAGCAUGCCUGAUGUCAGCUGGAUGUAUUAAAAAAAAACCCAACUUGAUUUACAAUUUUCAGUUAAAUGUAGUGGGAAGUUUGAGUGAGAGGAGGUUUAUUUUUAACGACAGGAUUUUCAUAAUUUUGUGACAAUUUGAGUAUUUCACAAUUUUAUGAGAAACCACAGUACAUACUCUUACUGGAAAAUAAAACAUCUGGCACAAAUUCUUAAUUAUUGUCACCAAUUUAGAUAAAAGAUAAAGAUAGAUAGAUAUAAAGAUAUAAAUCUGGAUACAUAUUUUUAUUUUUACCAUUUCCUCAAUUAAAUGUCCAAUUUGGUGUUCUUUUUUGCACUCUUAUUGGAGUUUAACACCUUAUAUUUUGUAUGAUAAUAUCGUAUAUUGAUAUUCAGUCUAUUUAACACUUCAGACAUGUAUUAAUUCACCCUGAAUAGCCUUGUCUCUGUCUGGGGCAUUUUGAACUGAAUAUCCUGUUUACAUAUUAGGCAACUUAUGUCACUUGUUGCCUAAUUUAGUGCUACACACCAACACGUCUCAAUCCUGUUUACAGCAGCUAGAGAGUAACAACCACACAAGCUAAUUAUAAAGGGAUUGAAAUCUUUAUUUAGCCUAAUACAGUACAGUGCAACUGUUCACCUUAAUCCAGUGUUAACACAGUGAACCCUGGGCCCAACAUGACAGGUGAACCUUAGCCUGAUAGCCAGCAUCAUAUCAAUAGCUUCCAGAUGGAGUCAACUCUUUACUGCUCCACCACACGUGAUAAAAGUCGAUACAAGAAAACACAGAGGGUGUAGAGUUUACAACACACGUAAUCUAUGAUUCCAUUUCUUGAUAAAUAAAACUGCAUGAACAC
Acanthopagrus latus (yellowfin seabream) is the source of this 3391-nucleotide long non-coding RNA. RefSeq lists it as uncharacterized. The record is from RefSeq and is a predicted model, not a curated record. The transcript is spliced from 2 exons. NCBI's taxonomy places the organism in Eukaryota, Metazoa, Chordata, Actinopteri, Spariformes, Sparidae.